This 336-nucleotide ribosomal RNA is filed under the name Triticum aestivum (bread wheat). Its description in RNAcentral is "partial small subunit ribosomal RNA". The record is from RNAcentral. Lineage: Eukaryota; Viridiplantae; Streptophyta; Magnoliopsida; Poales; Poaceae.
AUGCGACCGACGGGGAACUGGAGCCUGGCCUUGGACGACCGCGACACCGACUUGGUUGCCUUCGCCUUGCCGCGGCCGACGACGCCUCCGGUGGAACUCAUCGCCGAUUCGCCUUUGGGGGAGGUCCGGACACGGUUGGUGACGACGAAGGAGAAGACGAUGAAGACGCGGCAGGAGCAGCGCCUCCAGCGCGAUGACCGGCCGCUCCAGGAACCGCUCGCAGUCGGUGGCGGCGGCCCGGUGGCUCAGCCAGAUGCCGCCGCCGAGGACGACGAGAGGGACGAGGGGGAUCUGGAUCGGGGGAGAGGAGGGAGGGAGAGAACAAAAGAAAGAUAG